Pelobates cultripes (western spadefoot toad) is the source of this 709-nucleotide non-coding RNA. Lineage: Eukaryota; Metazoa; Chordata; Amphibia; Anura; Pelobatidae. The record is from the annotation of a GenBank genome assembly.
GCAAUUCACUGCUUACAAUAUUUGUCCUGUAAUUGCCAAAAAUAUAUUAAAAUCAUCUACAAAUUAUACUUUUUAACAAGCAGAUCUAAUAAGUGAAUCCAUUUUGAUCAACUGUUCCAUAGUUCCACUAUUAGUGCAAAAUUGUGAAAAUGGUUCCCUAUUUUAAUACUUUAUUGAUAUUUAAUGUUGUGCCUUACUUGUCCUUUAACAUUAUGUAAAAUAUAAAUGGAUGCACUUAAAAAUACUGUGUUAAAUUACAAUGUAAUAACAUAGUAAAAGUGCCAAAAAGGACUGGGUCUUGAAUGCAUAGAAUCUCAGAAAGUCUUGAUCCCAUACAGAGAUAUUCACUAAAGUGAGAAUUCAAAUUCUAGGCCAAAGAAACCAAACUGGAAGCAUAAUUUACUUAGAGCAGUGGCAUACCUAACAUGGUCACAGGGGUCACAGCUGCGACCUCUGUGACCAUGGGCCACUGCAACUUCAGGGCCGGUGCAUUGCCACACCAGGCCCCGCAGUCACUGGAUAAUCGGCAGGUGGGACUGCUGUACUGCGCAGCUCCCCUCCUGCCGGUCUCUGUUUGUGAAGCGCGGCCGAGCACGGCAGCUGACAGGAAGGGCUCACAGAGAGAGCACUUCAUGUCAGACUAAGUACCUCUUGGCCGCGCUACACAAUCAUAAAGUACAGGGGAAGAGUGGGGACAGAGGGAUUGAGG